Juglans microcarpa x Juglans regia is the source of this 136-nucleotide long non-coding RNA. RefSeq lists it as uncharacterized. Lineage: Eukaryota; Viridiplantae; Streptophyta; Magnoliopsida; Fagales; Juglandaceae. The transcript has 2 exons. The record is from RefSeq and is a predicted model, not a curated record.
UUCAGGCAUUGUAGUACUAUGUUUUGGUUCUUAACUUCUUAGCAAAUAUGUCCAGUGAAAAGCAAAAUCUCAAGGCAGGGCAAUCCCACGGCCAGGGCCAGGAGAAGGCUGAAGAGUGGAUACAAUCCACAAAGGA